AAGCUCCAACGCCCAAGGCAUAAAUUGCUGCAUCUCUUUCGGUAUAAACGUACGUUGACUCAGGGAAUUUAUGAGCAAGAACGCGAUCAUGAUCGAACUGUGAACGCUCUGCCAUUAGAAACGUUAUCUUUUCAAGUCCUAAAACAAGAAACUAUGAAAGUUGAGACUGUAUCAUCAUAUCUGAGCUAAGGGAGACCUGUAAAUUAUCAAUUGUUGGAAAAUUGGGCACGCAACUUGGAACGACAAUCGAGGCAGAGUAGUUAGCUAGUGGUAAACGGGUCGGUCUGAUUCGGAGUUUGGAUUUGAA
RNAcentral lists this unclassified non-coding RNA (307 nucleotides) under Hevea brasiliensis (rubber tree). Lineage: Eukaryota; Viridiplantae; Streptophyta; Magnoliopsida; Malpighiales; Euphorbiaceae. The record is from RNAcentral.